UAAGUUUGUUCUUGGUAUAAGCUUUUGUGUGCAUGAAGUAUGCAUGCACAUGAAAGCUUAUACCAAGAACAAACUUA
Molecule: non-coding RNA, 77 nt
Organism: Podarcis lilfordi (Lilford's wall lizard)
Lineage: Eukaryota; Metazoa; Chordata; Lepidosauria; Squamata; Lacertidae
Source: the annotation of a GenBank genome assembly